This 497-nucleotide ribosomal RNA is filed under the name uncultured bacterium. RNAcentral describes it as "partial 16S ribosomal RNA". It matches the Rfam family "Bacterial small subunit ribosomal RNA", at positions 28 to 507 of the family's 1533-position model. The record is from RNAcentral.
GAUGAACGCUGGCGGCGUGCCUAAUACAUGCAAGUCGAGCGAACGGACGAGAAGCUUGCCUCUCUGAUGUUAGCGGCGGACGGGUGAGUAACACGUGGAUAACCUACCUAUAAGACUGGGAUAACUUCGGGAAACCGGAGCUAAUACCGGAUAAUAUUUUGAACCGCAUGGUUCAAAAGUGAAAGACGGUCUUGCUGUCACUUAUAGAUGGAUCCGCGCUGCAUUAGCUAGUUGGUAAGGUAACGGCUUACCAAGGCAACGAUGCAUAGCCGACCUGAGAGGGUGAUCGGCCACACUGGAACUGAGACACGGUCCAGACUCCUACGGGAGGCAGCAGUAGGGAAUCUUCCGCAAUGGGCGAAAGCCUGACGGAGCAACGCCGCGUGAGUGGUGAAGGUCUUCGGAUCGUAAAACUCUGUUAUUAGGGAAGAACAUAUGUGUAAGUAACUGUGCACAUCUUGACGGUACCUAAUCAGAAAGCCACGGCUAACUACGUG